UAGCAUAUCAAUAAGCGGAGGAAAAGAAACCAACAGGGAUUGCCUCAGUAACGGCGAGUGAAGCGGCAACAGCUCAAAUUUGAAAUCUGGCCUCUUUGGGGUCCGAGUUGUAAUUUGUAGAGGAUGUUUCGGGUACCGCCUCGGUUUAAAUUUCUUGGAACAGAAUGUCAGAGAGGGUGAGAAUCCCGUCUUGGACCGGCGGUAGGGCCCAUGUGAAACUCCUUCGACGAGUCGAGUUGUUUGGGAAUGCAGCUCAAAAUGGGUGGUAAAUUUCAUCUAAAGCUAAAUAUUGGCCAGAGACCGAUAGCGCACAAGUAGAGUGAUCGAAAGAUGAAAAGAACUUUGAAAAGAGAGUUAAACAGUAUGUGAAAUUGUUGAAAGGGAAGCGCUUGCAACCAGACUUGAGCGCGGCGGUUCCCCCUUCCUUUUGGUUGGGUUACUCCGCCGUGUCCAGGCCAACAUCGGUUCUGGGGGUCGGUUAAAGGCCCGGGGAAUGUACCUACUCCUUCGGGGGUAGACUUAUAGCCCCGGGUGUCAUGCGACCACCCGGGACCGAGGAACGCGCUUCGGCUCGGAUGUUGGCGUAAUGGUUGUCAGCGACCCGUCUUGAAACACGGACCAAGGAGUCUAACAUCUAUGCGAGUGUUUGGGUGUCAAACCCGGAACGCGAAAUGAAAGUGAACGGAGGUAGGAAGCCUUUGGGCUGCACUAUCGACCGAUCCUGAUGUCUUCGGAUGGAUUUGAGUAAGAGCAUAGCUGUUGGGACCCGAAAGAUGGUGAACUAUGCCUGAAUAGGGUGAAGCCAGAGGAAACUCUGGUGGAGGCUCGCAGCGGUUCUGACGUGCAAAUCGAUCGUCAAAUUUGGGUAUAGGGGCGAAAGACUAAUCG
This 888-nucleotide ribosomal RNA is filed under the name Exophiala spinifera. Its description in RNAcentral is "LSU rRNA". It matches the Rfam family "Eukaryotic large subunit ribosomal RNA", at positions 36 to 937 of the family's 3401-position model. Lineage: Eukaryota; Fungi; Ascomycota; Eurotiomycetes; Chaetothyriales; Herpotrichiellaceae. The record is from RNAcentral.